RNAcentral lists this ribosomal RNA (541 nucleotides) under uncultured Gallionellaceae bacterium. Its description in RNAcentral is "bacterial SSU rRNA". It matches the Rfam family "Bacterial small subunit ribosomal RNA", at positions 135 to 671 of the family's 1533-position model. Lineage: Bacteria; Pseudomonadati; Pseudomonadota; Betaproteobacteria; Nitrosomonadales; Gallionellaceae. The record is from RNAcentral.
AGUGGGGGAUAACGUAGCGAAAGUUACGCUAAUACCGCAUAUGCCCUGAGGGGGAAAGGGGGGGAUCGCAAGACCUCUCGCUUUCGGAGUGGCCGAUAUCAGAUUAGCUAGUUGGUGGGGUAAAGGCCUACCAAGGCGACGAUCUGUAGCUGGUCUGAGAGGACGACCAGCCACACUGGGACUGAGACACGGCCCAGACUCCUACGGGAGGCAGCAGUGGGGAAUUUUGGACAAUGGGCGCAAGCCUGAUCCAGCCAUGCCGCGUGAGUGAAGAAGGCCUUCGGGUUGUAAAGCUCUUUCAGCCGGAAAGAAAUCGCACUGGUUAAUACCUUGUGUGGAUGACGGUACCGGAAGAAGAAGCACCGGCUAACUACGUGCCAGCAGCCGCGGUAAUACGUAGGGUGCGAGCGUUAAUCGGAAUUACUGGGCGUAAAGCGUGCGCAGGCGGUUUUGUAAGACAGACGUGAAAUCCCCGGGCUUAACCUGGGAACUGCGUUUGUGACUGCAAGGCUAGAGUACGGCAGAGGGGGGUAGAAUUCCA